GAUGAACGCUAGCUACAGGCUUAACACAUGCAAGUCGCGGGGCAGCAUGGGGGUUGCUUGCAAUCCCCGAUGGCGACCGGCGCACGGGUGAGUAACGCGUAUCCAACCUGCCCUUCACCACGGGAUAACCCGGCGAAAGUCGGACUAAUACCGUAUGUUGUCCAUUGACGGCAUCCGAUUUGGACGAACGGUUUGGCGGUGAAGGAUGGGGAUGCGUCCGAUUAGCUGGACGGCGGGGUGACGGCCCACCGUGGCGACGAUCGGUAGGGGUUCUGAGAGGAAGGUCCCCCACACUGGAACUGAGACACGGCCCAGACUCCUACGGGAGGCAGCAGUGAGGAAUAUUGGUCAAUGGGCGUAAGCCUGAACCAGCCAAGUAGCGUGCAGGAUGACGGCCCUAUGGGUUGUAAACUGCUUUUAUGCGGGGAUAAAGUGGCCCACGUGUGGGUUUUUGCAGGUACCGCAUGAAUAAGGACCGGCUAAUUCCGUG
This 490-nucleotide ribosomal RNA is filed under the name uncultured bacterium. Its description in RNAcentral is "partial 16S ribosomal RNA". It matches the Rfam family "Bacterial small subunit ribosomal RNA", at positions 28 to 507 of the family's 1533-position model. The record is from RNAcentral.